AAAAUAGAGAUAGUUGAGAAGGCACACAAAAAAUGGAGAAAAAUCCUAGGCCUAGCAUAUAGAGCAGCAUGUACCUCCCUCUUCUUCCUCACCGACUCAUCAUCAUCUUCACCACAAAAGCCAAUCUGAAACUUUCUUCUUCCUCCAUGAAAAACCAGACCCAAGGUCCCUCAAAAUAACAUGUAAAGCUCCGCAUAGACCAGCUCUGAAACCAGCCUUUAAUAGUUACAAAGGCCGCCUGAAAACACCAGAAAACAACCACUAAAACCUCCAAACACUACCUCAAAUACCCCCCAAAACAAGCAGCGAAAAACAGUAGCAAACAACCCCAAAACGUCCAAAAACCGAUCCCAAAACCAGCCCCCUAAAAUGCAGCAGAAAACACAGCUAAAAACAACCACUUUUUCUCCUUAAUUAGCAUGAAACCCAACUGAAAAUAUUGCUUGAAAUAGUCCAAAACAUCACUCAAAACCUAGCCAAAAGGCAUGCAGAAAGCAAUCUAAAAACCCAGCCAAGAGCAUCUCGAAAACGCAGCAAAAGCUGCUGCCAAGUUCACCCAAAAGAAAAAGUCCAGUGGAGCUCAAUUUUGAAGCUUUCUCAUCCAAGUUCGUCGUUUGAGGUUCGAGUUUUCAGCCGAGAUCCAUCAUCUGCGAGGUUUUCGAUCUGAGAUUAGUGAGGGUUUCGUGUCGAGUUCUCUGUUUUGCUUAUGGACAAUCACUAAUUUCCUGUUUGUUGGAUUGCAGUGUCUUCAGCUAAUAUAAGGCCCCUUUCUCUCCUUUAACAUGCUUCUUAGUUUCAUUAUAUUGGCUGCUAUUUUGUUUGCCUUAUGAAAAUUAGAUGAUAUUCUUGGUUGACUAAUAUGUCUAAAUCAUGCAUCUGUUUAUGAAUUUUUAUAGGGUAGACGUAUAUUUUGAUUUUUUAUGAAUUUGUAGUUCUAUGUAGUAGGAAGGAGCUGGUUCGAUUGUUGAAUUUGAGAUAAAACAAUUUGAAAUAUGUUGAAUUUAGAAAAGAAUCCAUGUCUGCCAAUUGAUAUCUA
This 1036-nucleotide long non-coding RNA is filed under the name Nicotiana tabacum (common tobacco). RNAcentral describes it as "long non-coding RNA (NTAB_LNC013301)". The record is from RNAcentral. Lineage: Eukaryota; Viridiplantae; Streptophyta; Magnoliopsida; Solanales; Solanaceae.